This 251-nucleotide ribosomal RNA is filed under the name uncultured prokaryote. RNAcentral describes it as "partial 16S rRNA". It matches the Rfam family "Bacterial small subunit ribosomal RNA", at positions 525 to 775 of the family's 1533-position model. The record is from RNAcentral.
ACGGAGGGUGCAAGCGUUGUUCGGAUUUAUUGGGCGUAAAGCGCGUGUAGGCGGUUUGUUAAGUCUGAUGUGAAAGCCCUGGGCUCAACCUGGGAAGUGCAUUGGAAACUGGCAGACUUGAAUACGGGAGAGGGUAGUGGAACUGCGAGUGUAGAGGUGAAAUUCGUAGAUAUUCGCAAGAACACCAGUGGCGAAGGCGGCUCACUGGCCCAUAACUGACGCUGAGGCACGAAAGCGUGGGGAGCAAACAG